This 148-nucleotide non-coding RNA is filed under the name Nomascus leucogenys (northern white-cheeked gibbon). The record is from Rfam by way of RNAcentral. Lineage: Eukaryota; Metazoa; Chordata; Mammalia; Primates; Hylobatidae.
GCUGGGCAUGGUGGUGGACGCCUGUAAUCCCAGCUACCCGGGAGGCUGAGGCAGGAGAAUCACUCGAGCCCAGGAGGUGGAGGCUGCAGUGAGCUGAGAUUGCGCCACUGCACUCUGUCCUGGGUGACAGAGUGAGACUCUGACUCAA